AGAGUGAACGCUGGCGGUAGGCCUAACACAUGCAAGUCGAACGGCAGCACGGUAAGAGCUUGCUCUUAUGGGUGGCGAGUGGCGGACGGGUGAGGAAUACAUCGGAAUCUACCUUUUGGUGGGGGAUAACGUAGGGAAACUUACGCUAAUACCGCAUACGCCCGUUCGGGGGAAAGCCGGGGACCAGCAAAUGGCCUGGCGCUGAUAGAUGAGCCGAUGUCGGAUUAGCUAGUUGGUGAGGUAAUGGCUCACCAAGGCGACGAUCCGUAGCUGGUCUGAGAGGAUGAUCAGCCACACUGGAACUGAGACACGGUCCAGACUCCGUACGGGAGCAGCAGUGGGGAAUA
Molecule: ribosomal RNA, 347 nt
Filed under: uncultured soil bacterium
Lineage: Bacteria
Description: bacterial SSU rRNA
Rfam family: Bacterial small subunit ribosomal RNA
Source: RNAcentral